Molecule: unclassified non-coding RNA, 350 nt
Filed under: soil metagenome
Description: partial contains 5.8S ribosomal RNA, internal transcribed spacer 2, and large subunit ribosomal RNA
Rfam family: 5.8S ribosomal RNA (bases 1-120)
Source: RNAcentral
GAUGAAGAACGUAGCGAAAUGCGAUAAGUAAUGUGAAUUGCAGAAUUCAGUGAAUCAUCGAAUCUUUGAACGCACAUUGCGCCCGCCAGUAUUCUGGCGGGCAUGCCUGUUCGAGCGUCAUUUCAACCCUCAAGCCCAGCUUGGUGUUGGGGAUCGGCACAGGCGCCCUCGGGCGCCCGCCGUCCCCUAAAUCUAGUGGCGGUCCCGCUGCAGCCUCCUCUGCGUAGUAGUUUUCUCCUCGCAAGGGCAGCUCGGUGGCGACCUCGCCGUAAAACCCCCAACUUCUGAAAGGUUGACCUCGAAUCAGGUAGGAAUACCCGCUGAACUUAAGCAUAUCACUAAGCGGAGGA